CCUAGUAAGAAGCGGCAAGAGUGGUGUGGGUGUUGGAUGUAUGUCCCAGAAGUCAAUCUUGGCUGACACAUUUCAUAUCUCUAGGAUAUGAUUUUGUACUUAUGGGACAGUUAUAUUAUCAUUCAUGUUUAUGUGUCCAUAAAUCAUCUAAGAGAUUAACAAGAUGAUGACACAUAUUCUUAAAGAGUUAAAAAAUUGAGACAUAUGUCAUUAAUAAUUGAUUCCUAAAUUAUUUCUGAUCAUAGGAUCAUCAUGGAG
RNAcentral lists this long non-coding RNA (258 nucleotides) under Elaeis guineensis (African oil palm). RNAcentral describes it as "long non-coding RNA (EGUI_LNC048671)". Lineage: Eukaryota; Viridiplantae; Streptophyta; Magnoliopsida; Arecales; Arecaceae. The record is from RNAcentral.